RNAcentral lists this microRNA precursor (67 nucleotides) under Echinococcus granulosus. RNAcentral's name for it is "microRNA egr-mir-1 precursor". Its record names the gene egr-mir-1. The record is from miRBase by way of RNAcentral. Lineage: Eukaryota; Metazoa; Platyhelminthes; Cestoda; Cyclophyllidea; Taeniidae. RNAcentral also lists the same sequence under 1 other name.
GCUUCCCAAUAGGCCAUAGAGUAAGUCCCUACACCUAUGGGGAUCUAUGGAAUGUUGUGAAGUAUGU